Molecule: long non-coding RNA, 424 nt
Organism: Helianthus annuus (common sunflower)
Lineage: Eukaryota; Viridiplantae; Streptophyta; Magnoliopsida; Asterales; Asteraceae
Exons: 3
Source: RefSeq, a predicted model, not a curated record
UGGACGCCGGAGCUCCGGUCCGACCGUCGACGACAGUAAGCUCAGUUCAGCCUGUCGGUUCAACAAAGUGCAGCUUGGCUAAGGGUAGUUUCGGGUCAGAUUAUAGUUUCGGGUCAACACCGGGUCAAACCCGGUCAGAGCUGGUCAAAGACGGUAAACGGGUCAAGUCUCGAGCUUCGGGUCGGCAGUGGUCAAGUCAGUUUUGGUCAGCCGGUUCGGGUCAAGCGGCUUGGUCAGAUGAUUCGGUUCAGUUGACUCGGUCAACUCAGUGAGUGUUUCGACACGAAGAUUUGGAAUAUUGUAGAAUGCACGCUAGCGAGUCACGUCUUGGAAACGGCAUCACGGAGUCGUAUUUAGCUAGCUUUGCACAUGGAAAUCCAGGUGAGUUCAUAACCCCCACUUUUUACUGUUUUACAUUUUUAUA